UACGUAGGGUGCGAGCGUUAAUCGGAAUUACUGGGCGUAAAGGGUGCGUAGGCGGCGGGGUAAGUCGGAUGUGAAAUCCCGGGGCUCAACCCCGGAACUGCAUUCGAUACUGCCUUGCUAGAGUACUGGAGAGGAGACUGGAAUUUACGGUGUAGCAGUGAAAUGCGUAGAUAUCGUAAGGAAGACCAGUGGCGAAGGCGAGUCUCUGGACAGUUACUGACGCUGAGGCACGAAGGCCAGGGGAGCAAACGGG
This 253-nucleotide ribosomal RNA is filed under the name uncultured bacterium. Its description in RNAcentral is "partial 16S ribosomal RNA". It matches the Rfam family "Bacterial small subunit ribosomal RNA", at positions 524 to 776 of the family's 1533-position model. The record is from RNAcentral.